Molecule: long non-coding RNA, 3292 nt
Filed under: Sus scrofa (pig)
Lineage: Eukaryota; Metazoa; Chordata; Mammalia; Artiodactyla; Suidae
Description: lncRNA (ENSSSCG00040028712.1)
Source: RNAcentral
GGGCCUGGGCACCAGAGGCCACGACAGGCAGCCACCGCCCCAGGCCACUGAGGACCCUGAACCUGGAGGUCAGAGUCAGGACGUGAGGGUCAGGGAACACGCACUUGCAUCCCCGCCCCCUGUUCACGGCCGUGUGGCCUGGAGCCCCGUCACCAGCUCCCUCCCUGGACGGGGGACAGGCCUCACGCAGGGAUCACUGUGCAUCUGGGCUCCUUGAUCCGAAGCACCCAGACCCGGGCGCGCCCUCAGUGGCGCAUCGCUCUCCUGGGGAAAACAGGCAAAAAUAAACAGACUGAAAAGGAAGUAGGCGCAAACCCAGUGCGGGGCGGCGGGAGGUGAUGAAUCUCGCCUCUCCCGGUCUGGAGUUAAUGAGGAGCCUGAGUCAGGAGGCAGAUGGGACCGACCCAUCCGCUGUGCUGCUGGAAAUGAGAAGCUGCUGGAGACGUUCUGACUCAGAACCAGAUGGCCCCUGCUCCAUCCCCUGCAUUCAAGAUGGAAGUGAAGGACCUUGAGAUGAGACGCCCUGGAUGCAGGUGAGACUCAGCACCAGUGAUAAGUGUCCUUGUGGAAAGAGGGAAGGCCCCAUGAAAGCAGAGUCAGGGACGGCAGCUACAGGCGGCUCUGAGCCCCCGUUCCCAGCGGUUUGUUGCAGCAGCUUCGGAUGCUCCAUGGAUACCAAGGCACGCGAGGGAAGCAAACCUACCAGCACAGUCGAACUUGCCUCGGCGCCAACACAGCUUAACCUUCAGGGCCCCUCACUUGCGAAGACCCUCUUCUGCAGCCCAGUUCCUGUUUGCGUAUUCCUUUUGUCAAAGGGGCCCCCUCCGCAGAUGGGGAAAGUAUUGGGUCCCACACACUCUGGCUCCCUCCCUGUUGCCACCAGGGUACAGCACACAGCCUGCAGUAUAGACGCUUCCGUGGGUUUUCUGUCAUCUGAACAUCCACCCAGCCAGUCCUCCGUGUCUUCAGCCAAGCUGGAUUAUCGAGUCCCUGCUGUCUCGGGAUGUAACUUGGAAAGAGAACCAGAGACAAUUUGGAGGCAAAGUAAAUGGGCUGCAGCAAGAUGCGCAUGAAGAAAGAGAGAGGCUGAAAGGGGAACCUGAGCAGAGAGUGGUUGUUCUACCUGGAAAUCAUGACAGCCCCACCAAGGAGAUAACCUCCAGUCUGGGCUUUUAAGGAUGGGUAGGAGUUCGCCAGGAGACAAGGGGGAGGACAGCUUAGGUCGGGGGCACUGUGCGGGCAAAGGUGUGGGACAGCCCCUGGCCCUGGGGCAGCAGUGUGCGACAGCCUGCCUGGCCCAUGGGGCCUGCAGGAUGAAGAGAGAGGGAAGGGCCGGGGCUGGGCCUGGAGUCCUGGGGCAGGGAGAAGUAACAGGUGUGAGGUCCGCAAACGUGGCAGCUUAAAAUGAGAAGAAUCUCCUUCCUCUGAAGGCUGGGGCAGGGGGUGGGGGUGAGGUGUUUCCAGGCCCCUUCCAGCUGCUGGCUGUUGUGGCAGUUCCAUUGUCCAGCCCCUUGCAGCUGCACCCUCCAGUCUCUGCCUCCCUCAUUACAGGACCUUCUCCCUGUGUCUCUCUGGGUCCCUUCGCCUUUUUUUUUUUUCCAGCUGCACCCACAUCAGGCAGAAGUUCCCAAGCCAGGGGUCGAAUGCGCUCCACAUCUGUAAGUAACCAGAGCCACUGCAGUGACAACGCCAGAUCCUUAACCCACUGAGCCACCAGGGAACUCCCCUUCUCCUCUUCUUAUGAGGACACCAGCCAUAGUAGAGACGUUACUAAUCAGGUAAUUCAAUUACAUCUGCAAGGACACCAGAGUAUUUCCAAGUAAGGUCACGUACACAGGGGCCUGGGCUCAGGGCUUCAAUGACCUUUCUGGGGACACAGUUCAACCCACAACAGGGAGGAGGAACCACAGGACUUGGUACUGAUUAGAUGGACCUUAUGGCCUGAAUGGUCUACACGGCCUCCCUCCCACGGCACAUGUUGAAAUCCUGAUAGCCUUGUGACCGCGUCGGAGACAGGGCCUUUAGGAGGUGAGGACCGCGGCUGUCUGCAAGCCAGGAAGAGAGCUCUCAGCAGAAACCUCGUGCUGCCAAAACCUUGAUGUUCCAGCCUCCAGAACCGUGAGAAGAAAGUUUCUAUCCUUAAGCCCCCAGUGUGCGGCAUUUUAUCACGGCAGGCUGAGCUAAGACAAUGGGGUUGGGGCUGGAUGAGCAGGCAGCAGAGCGGAACUGAGGAGGAAUUCCCCAGGCUCGGAGGAAGCUCUGACCCACAGGUGCUGGUCCCGAUGGCCCGGCCAGGAGCUGAGGUUUUAGGGAGGAACUGGACUCGGCCCAAGGCUUCCAGGAGCUGCAGGUCAGGCAGGGAGUCAGGAAGGGGCCCAGGCCUGCCAGGUACAAUGAUGCAGGUGGUGGCUCAGGGACAAGGGGCCAGGACAAUCGAAGCGGCCCCAAGGGGCAGGGAGGCCCCAGGAAGGGGCCAUCAGAACAGUCAAGAACCCGGUCGUUGGCACUUCCUCCGGCCUAACUACUCAGCGUUGUCUCUGCAGCAGCUCUGGAUCAGUCCCUGGCCUUGGAACUUCCACAUGUCGAGGGUGCAGCCAAACACUUUAAAGAAAGAACUCUUGCCUGCUCUGACUGAUGGCUCCCAGGCCAGGGAUCAGAUACGAGCUGCAGCUGCAACCUGCGCUGCAGCUGCAGCAACGCUGGAUCCUUCAACCCACCAUUCAUUCUUAUGCCGCUUAAAUGUCACCUCCACUACGUGCAGAAGCUCGAUGGACUUGAGCACAUAGAUCGGGCAACAUUUGGGGGGUUUGGCCUCACAGAUGGUCGGCUCUCUGGGUUGGCAAGUUCCUGCCUGGCUUCCUUUGCUGUUGUCACGGAGUUGCCGUUGCCAUGGCGUCUGUGUGUGCACGGGGGACCAUCGCGCAUCUCCUCAGCUUCGGGAGCACGCAUCCAGAGCCUGGGAAGACUGCGGAGAGAGAAGAAGGAGGCGUGGCGUGUGGGAGGGAGUCCACCUGGGCGCCUCGUGUUGACGGAGCCGAGAAAAGAGGGGUGGUACUGUGCCGCCCCUGAACCAGAAGGGAGGGAUGGAGGCAGAGGUGCCUGCAGGGCCUGCCGGGCCCUCAGCUGUAGAGGCCUGGGGAGGGGGGGUCAACCGAGGGCCUUCUAUCUGGCCUUCUGCUGCCCCUCCUUCGCAACCACUUCCUGCCACUGUCCCAAAGUCACGGCAAAUGCAGCCCAGGAGUGAAAUACUGCCGAUUUAAUCUGUGCCUCUGAUAAACAAAUGAACAAGUGU